This 175-nucleotide non-coding RNA is filed under the name Alexandrium monilatum. The record is from RNAcentral. Lineage: Eukaryota; Dinophyceae; Gonyaulacales; Pyrocystaceae.
GGCCAUGUGGAUGACGAUCGUGACGGUGACUACGUUCGGCGGCGACGUGCCCGUGACACUGGCCGGCCGCUUCGCCGUCUCCGCUCUCCUGCUCAGCAGCAUCCUCUUCAUGGCCAUGCCCAUCGGCAUCAUGGGCAACGCCUUCACCCAGGUGUGGAAGGACCGCGACCUCAUA